GACGAACGCUGGCGGCGUGCUUAACACAUGCAAGUCGAACGGAAAGGCCCUGCUUUUGUGGGGUGCUCGAGUGGCGAACGGGUGAGUAACACGUGAGUAACCUGCCCUUGACUUUGGGAUAACUUCAGGAAACUGGGGCUAAUACCGGAUAGGAGCUCCUGCUGCAUGGUGGGGGUUGGAAAGUUUCGGCGGUUGGGGAUGGACUCGCGGCUUAUCAGCUUGUUGGUGGGGUAGUGGCUUACCAAGGCUUUGACGGGUAGCCGGCCUGAGAGGGUGACCGGCCACAUUGGGACUGAGAUACGGCCCAGACUCCUACGGGAGGCAGCAGUGAGGAAUAUUGCACAAUGGGCGGAAGCCUGAUGCAGCAACGCCGCGUGCGGGAUGACGGCCUUCGGGUUGUAAACCACUUUCGCCUGUGACGAAGCGUGAGUGACGGUAAUGGGUAAAGAAGCACCGGCUAACUACGUG
This 468-nucleotide ribosomal RNA is filed under the name uncultured bacterium. RNAcentral's name for it is "partial 16S ribosomal RNA". It matches the Rfam family "Bacterial small subunit ribosomal RNA", at positions 28 to 507 of the family's 1533-position model. The record is from RNAcentral.